UGGGGAAUAUUGCACAAUGGGGGAAACCCUGAUGCAGCGACGCCGCGUGAACGAAGAAGGUAUUCGUAUCGUAAAGUUCUGUCCUAUGGGAAGAUAAUGACAGUACCAUAGAAGAAAGCUCCGGCUAAAUACGUGCCAGCAGCCGCGGUAAUACGUAUGGAGCGAGCGUUGUCCGGAAUUAUUGGGCGUAAAGGGUACGCAGGCGGUUUAAUAAGUCGAAUGUUAAAGAUCGGGGCGCAACCCCGCAAAGCAUUGGAAACUGAUAAACUUGAGUAGUGGAGAGGAAAGUGGAAUUCCUAGUGUAGUGGUGAAAUACGUAGAUAUUAGGAGGAAUACCAGUAGCGAAGGCGACUUUCUGGACACAAACUGACGCUGAGGUACGAAAGCGUGGGGAGCAAACAGG
RNAcentral lists this ribosomal RNA (403 nucleotides) under bacterium. RNAcentral describes it as "partial 16S ribosomal RNA". It matches the Rfam family "Bacterial small subunit ribosomal RNA", at positions 355 to 776 of the family's 1533-position model. The record is from RNAcentral.